GUUGCUGGCUGUUGUCCUCAUUAUGGACGCUUCUUGGCACUGUUCUUGCACAGCACUACAGCAGAGCAGAGGAGCUCAGCUCUUGCACAAUGAAAUUGAGCAGCCCUUUUGUGAGGUCGGUCACUUGGUCAUGCACUGAAGUUCUCACUCAGCUAACUUCUUUUCGGCUGCAGCUUCCAUAUCUUGGUCAUGCACGUACGUUUUGCUUCCACGUCUUAAUUUACUCCGUAGUUGGUAGCGGUGGUUCGGUACUACGGAGUAUUUUUUCAAGGGACUGGAACAAGAGUUAAUCUUUGUUUACGAACCUGAACCUCGUCAAGAGGAUAGGAGCUCGGCAAUUCUUUCAGAACAAGAGAAAAUUCCCGUUUACUUAAGGAAUACUGGACCGAGAACCGGUGACAUGGAAACAAUUCUUAUUCGCCGUUCAACAGCAGCCAAAUUUCCAAGAAGUUGCAAUCAUAUAUAUAUCCCAGCCGAUUUGUUUCAAUUGUAGAUGUGACGGAAGGAUGAUAGAGCAACUAUAGAAUUAUGGAAUAAGCUCAGAUGAGUGGUUCGUUUCUGAAGAUUGAAGAACAAUACAAGUGGUUCUAGACUUAUUAGACUGGAUCAAAGUGAGCACAUGUGCAGAGCAUGUCAUCGCUACUACACAACCGGAACAACAAGGAUGGGGAGAUGUAAUUUUCAGCGACACGUAACGAAAACUAGUGUCCGAUUAAAUCUUAUAGAUGCUGAUUGAGUGAUCGGUCAUCCUGUAAUCCCAGACCAGUUAUUUCAAGUGGGUUUAGAACAGUCCUUGUCAAUGUAAGCACGAAAUUGUGUUCUGGUUUUUAUUGGGACAUCGGUUGAAUCUUCUCCUCGCUAGUAAUUAUUUAUUUCUUGCUAGAUUAUUCAUGGUUGUGAUGUUUUUAUGGAAAUGCGGUUGUUGCAGCUUAUAGUAGUAAUUUGGAUCUCACAAUGAAAAAGAAAGUCUUGGAGAGUUGACCCAAAUUUUGAUAACUGGGAGUCUGGGUCUCUGGGGCAUUGAGUUGAAGCAUCUGUUGUUCGUCAUGGUUAUCCCAUUGGGCAAAAGACGAGUUGGUCUUCUUCUAUCAAUGAAUGAUGGAGCGGUGGUGGUAAUGCAGUAAGUAGAGGUAAAUUUAUGCGAUGACUUGUCAAGUGGCAUGGCGAGCAGAGUGACCACCCAAUCUGAUAGCGGCAAGAUGAAGUGCAGAACAUGAAGGGUACUGAAGAGAAAAGAAGACGAGACGAGGAAUUUUUUUUGUUAUUCGUUUCAAGAGUCUUUUAACAUCAGAUAACUUUUAUUAGCUUAAACUAUACUAGUAGAUCAUCCACUAGAAAUUGUAUAAGAAAAAUCAGGGGAUCACCUAACACUGCUCCCUAAGUGAUGCUGGUGGCGAAACAAGCAAAUAUGCCAAGAACUCGUUUGUAAUGGAAGUUCUACGAUAGUAUCCUUUUUUA
Long non-coding RNA from Brachypodium distachyon (stiff brome), 1458 nucleotides. RefSeq lists it as uncharacterized. The transcript is spliced from 2 exons. The record is from RefSeq and is a predicted model, not a curated record. Lineage: Eukaryota; Viridiplantae; Streptophyta; Magnoliopsida; Poales; Poaceae.